CAUGCAAGUCGAACGAGGAUAUACCUUUCGGGGUAUAAACCGAGUGGCGCAAGGGUGAGUAAUGCAUAGAUUACCUGCCUCUAGGAUAAGGACAACUUUGUGAAAACGAAGCUAAUACUUAAUAAUACAAGAGAGAAUAAUUCUUUUUUGUCAAUGGGAGGGUAGCAAUACCUUUUGCCUAGAGAGGGGUUUAUGUCCUAUCAGCUUGUUGGUGGGGUAAUGGCCUACCAAGGCGAAGACGGGUAGCCGGUCUUAGAGGAUGGUCGGCCACACUGGGACUGAGACACUGCUCAGACUUCUACGGAAGGCUGCAGUCGAGAAUCUUUCGCAAUGCCCGAAAGGGUGACGAAGCGACGCCGCGUGAGUGAGGAAGGCCUUCGGGUUGUAAAGCUCUGUCAGGUGUUAAGAAAUAUAAGUGUGCUAAUACCACAUUUAUUUGACAAAGGCGCCAAAGGAAGCCACGGCUAACUCUGUGCCAGCAGCCGCGGUAAUACAGAGGUGGCAAGCGUUGUCCGGAAUUAUUGGGCGUAAAGAGCACGUAGGUGGGUUCGUAAGUCAGAUGUGAAAGCCUUCUGUUCAACGGAAGAAUUGCAUCUGAAACUGCGAGUCUUGAGUGUAGGAGGGGAGAAUGGAACUUCUGGUGGAGCGGUGAAAUGCGUAGAUAUCAGAAGGAACGCCGGCGGCGAAAGCGAUUCUCUGGCCUAUUACUGACACUCAGUGUGCGAAAGCUAGGGGAGCAAACGGGAUUAGAUACCCCGGUAGUCCUAGCUGUAAACGAUGGGCACUAAGUAGAGGGAAUUACCGAUGUUCUCUCUGCCGUAGCUAACGCAUUAAGUGCCCCGCCUGGGGAGUACGGCCGCAAGGCUAAAACUCAAAAGAAUUGACGGGGGCUCGCACAAGCGGUGGAGCAUGUGGCUUAAUUCGAUGCAACGCGAAAAACCUUACCGGGGCUUGACAUGGUAGAAGUAGGAACCCGAAAGGGUAACGAACGGUAUCCAGUCCGUAGCUAUCACAGGUGUUGCAUGGCUGUCGUCAGCUCGUGUCGUGAGACGUUGGGUUAAGUCCCCUAACGAGCGAAACCCUUGUUUUUAGUUACCAGCGGGUUAUGCCGGGUACUCUAGAAAGACUGCCGUCGUCAAGACGGAGGAAGGUGGGGAUGACGUCAAGUCAUCAUGGCCCUUAUGCCCCGGGCUGCACACGUGCUACAAUGGUCGGUACAAACGGAAGCGAAGCCGAGAGGUGGAGCGAAUCCUAAAAAGCCGAUCUCAGUUCGGAUUGGAGGCUGAAAUUCGCCUCCAUGAAGUUGGAAUCGCUAGUAAUCGCGGAUCAGCAUUGCCGCGGUGAAUAUGUUCCCGAGCCUUGUACACACCGCCCGUCAAGCCACCCAAGCAGGAUGCACCCGAAAACAUUAUAUCUAACCAGGUUUACCUGGAGGAAAGUGUUGAAGGAGUGUUUUGUGAGGAGGACUAAGUCGUAACAAGGUAGUCGUAGGAGAACCUGCGGCUGGAUCACCUCCUUUCU
Molecule: ribosomal RNA, 1521 nt
Filed under: uncultured Planctomycetales bacterium
Lineage: Bacteria; Pseudomonadati; Planctomycetota; Planctomycetia; Planctomycetales
Description: 16S ribosomal RNA
Rfam family: Bacterial small subunit ribosomal RNA
Source: RNAcentral